GCCCUCGUAGCUCAAUUGGAUAGAGCGUUUGCUUGCGGAGCAAAAGGCUGGGGAUUCGAGCUCCUCCGAGGGCGCAA
RNAcentral lists this transfer RNA (77 nucleotides) under Anaerolineaceae bacterium oral taxon 439. RNAcentral's name for it is "tRNA-Arg". It matches the Rfam family "tRNA". Rfam says of the family: Transfer RNA (tRNA) molecules are approximately 80 nucleotides in length. Their secondary structure includes four short double-helical elements and three loops (D, anti-codon, and T loops). Lineage: Bacteria; Bacillati; Chloroflexota; Anaerolineae; Anaerolineales; Anaerolineaceae. The record is from RNAcentral.